Molecule: long non-coding RNA, 217 nt
Filed under: Elaeis guineensis (African oil palm)
Lineage: Eukaryota; Viridiplantae; Streptophyta; Magnoliopsida; Arecales; Arecaceae
Description: long non-coding RNA (EGUI_LNC041891)
Source: RNAcentral
GGACUUCUACUAUGAGUUAGGAUACGGUAUAAAUAAUUUUAAAAUAUUUUUUUUAGAAUAGGCAUAUUUUGCAAGGAGAGUGUGAGGAUGAUCUAUUUGGUAAUCUAGAAUGGUAGUAAAUCCUUUGGCUCAGGGUCCACCGAGGCUUCUUUUGCUCCAUCAAAUACCCUCCCCAGCACUUGAUAAAGAGGGAUUAGGCCUGUAAAUGGGUCGGGUC